AUGUCGUAUGCUGCAUCAGCGAACAGGAGUGGUAAAACACGUGAACCAAGACAAAACACGUCAACAAACAAGGAGGGUGGAAGAGGAAAAGCGAUUGGAAGCAGUGACCCAACAAAAAACCGUGAGACAGAGGGUAAGAAUGGCAAGAAUGGAGAACGCUCGCCUAACGCACGCCAAACUAAAGACAGCACCGAGCUCCGAAGCGCGAGGUCCAGCGCGAGGUCCAGCGCCGGUUACGACGGAACACCAGGAGGGAGGGGGCCCAAGGCAUCCAGGCCCGGUGCUUUUCUUUCAAACCGGUAUGAAACAAGCGAGGAGGACGACGUUAUGAUACGAAGCAUGAGAGGUGAGAGCCAGGAGGAAACGCUGCAUUCAGAUAUAAUGGCAGCGGUCGACGCUGAAACUGACUCAAUACUGGCUGAUUUUGGCACAGAGGAUUUAACCAAAAUUGUGCUCAUCACUAUCAAAGCAGCAGUACCAGCAAUAGUCAAAGCGGUGCAGAAACAACUUUUGGCAUCAGUGGACACUACCCGAAUUAACAAAAAUAUACUGCAGAGCAGGUACAAGGAAGACGAACUGGAGCAGUACACACGCAAGGAAAAUGUGCGCAUCAGCGGGAUCGAGGAGGAGAACGGAGCGGAGACCGAGGAUCAACUUGUGGAAAAAGUGUGUAAACUGGUAGCGACCUCAGGCACGUCAAUUAAAGAAAGUGACAUCUCCACUGCGCACCGCCUGGGGAGAGUGAGACAACAGGGUGAGGCCCGACCUGUCAUUGUCAGAUUUGUGAGCAGGAGAAAGAAAGCUGAACUGUUGAGGAGCAAAGCGUUGCUGAGAAACCAUGACACUCACAGGAAUAUCUUCGUUAACGAAGACCUCACACAUCUGAGAUACAGGCUGUUCAAGUGUGCCAGGGAGAAAUGCCAACACACUUUUAUUAGGGACGGGAAAGUGAUCUGCAAAAGUGAAGGCCAGUACGUCACUAUAAACAAUCCCGACGACCUGUUCCUUAUUGGGUAUGACGAUGUGGACUACAAAGCCUUUGGUAUUGACCUAUAG
RNAcentral lists this long non-coding RNA (1056 nucleotides) under Gadus morhua (Atlantic cod). RNAcentral describes it as "lncRNA (ENSGMOG00000035297.1)". The record is from RNAcentral. Lineage: Eukaryota; Metazoa; Chordata; Actinopteri; Gadiformes; Gadidae.